This 482-nucleotide ribosomal RNA is filed under the name uncultured bacterium. Its description in RNAcentral is "partial 16S ribosomal RNA". It matches the Rfam family "Bacterial small subunit ribosomal RNA", at positions 28 to 506 of the family's 1533-position model. The record is from RNAcentral.
GACGAACGCUGGCGGCGUGCUUAACACAUGCAAGUCGAACGCUGAAGCUCAGCUUUUGUUGGGUGGAUGAGUGGCGAAUGGGUGAGUAACACGUGAGUAACCUGCCCCCUUCUUUGGGAUAACGCCCGGAAACGGGUGCUAAUACUGGAUAUUCACUGGUCUUCGCAUGGGGGUUGGUGGAAAGGGUUUUUCUGGUGGGGGAUGGGCUCGCGGCCUAUCAGCUUGUUGGUGGGGUGAUGGCCUACCAAGGCUUUGACGGGUAGCCGGCCUGAGAGGGUGACCGGUCACAUUGGGACUGAGAUACGGCCCAGACUCCUACGGGAGGCAGCAGUGGGGAAUAUUGCACAAUGGGCGCAAGCCUGAUGCAGCGACGCCGCGUGAGGGAUGGAGGCCUUCGGGUUGUGAACCUCUUUCGCUCAUGGUCAAGCCGCAACAAUGGUUGUGGUGAGGGUAGUGGGUAAAGAAGCGCCGGCUAACUACGU